Molecule: long non-coding RNA, 1247 nt
Filed under: Equus asinus (donkey)
Lineage: Eukaryota; Metazoa; Chordata; Mammalia; Perissodactyla; Equidae
Description: lncRNA (ENSEASG00005026231.1)
Source: RNAcentral
GUACUCUCUGCCCACCACCUAGGCGGCCAUUGAUGGGGGCGCGGGGUUGGCCGAAACUUGGGGAGGGGGUGCCAGCGGCUUCAAGGGUCUCUACACGCUCUCCUCCAACAAACAGCCAAAUAUCUGGAAAAGAAAAGGAUGACCCGUGGGGGAAGGGCGGGGCAAGGACAGGGCUGACCUACGCAGUGCUGCUAGCAUUUCUAAGAGGCUGGAAAACCAGGCCCCAGGCCUACGCACGCUGCGCAGCUACUGUAACCACCUCAGCAAUUAAGCACAAGCGCGACUGCCCUCCUUUAAACUUAAGGACCGAGGGAGAAGUUAAGACUUCGAGAAUAAAUGAGGUCUGGCAAUUUGGACCCAGGAACCCCAGAGGAAUAAAUUCUCACUGUGGCCUUUCAGUCUCAAGUCUCACACAACUGUCAAGGACCUCUGAAGGGAAAGGCAGUCCAGGGUCUUUGGAGGCAUAAGAGGAUGGUUGUCCAGGCAAACCAAAAUCUUGACCCAGACGGGAUGAGGCCCAAGAAAAAGUAAAUGAGAAACUAAAUCAAUAGCAAACUAUCUGUGAUAAAAGAAUGUGUAACACCUUUGGACUAUAUGAAAGAAAGGAGUCCAAAAGGAUAUCUGCAGCAUCCUAUACCCAGAACCCAUUGAUUUGGAAAGCAAUGGGGAGAGAAUAGAGAAGAAGUAACAGAAUCUCAUAAACUCUUCAACGUUUUUGGUUCAAACACCUUUUGCCUUCUAGGCCCCAGGGUAAAUUCCUUGGAACUAUGUCGCAAGACGUCCUCCCCUGCUAGCCUGUCCACUUACCAUCCAGUGAAGAGAACACCAGGAGGGUCAUGAGACAAGAUCAACAUAGAUACCCAGGGUCUGCUGUUAGGACAGGACAUCCAGCGAACCCUGGGCCGCCAAAGCGGAGCACACAAACUUAACCACUUGGCCAUGGGGCUUGCCCCAGUAUGUUACUUUUUAUAAUAAAAAUAAAGAAUACUAUCUUCAAUUUAAAAAUAAUUAAAAUCGAUGUCUGUGAUUUUAGAUGGGAGCAUAUUAUUUAUAAUCUUAACUUUACUGAAUAUGUAUUUGACACAAAGAAAAGAAUGUUAUCUGGGCAUAAAUUAUAUCCUAUUGUUCUGUUAAGAGAAUAACAAUGGAGGUAAAGAGGUCAACUUCAAAGGGACAAAAGCCCAAAUGUGAUAGCCAGCAAAGGAUCAUAAUGGGAUAUUUCAAAUGUGCAAUUUCCUACCUUCUGC